RNAcentral lists this small RNA (34 nucleotides) under Bombyx mori (domestic silkworm). Its description in RNAcentral is "ovarian small RNA-30562". The record is from RNAcentral. Lineage: Eukaryota; Metazoa; Arthropoda; Insecta; Lepidoptera; Bombycidae.
UGAAAUCAACAAGUAUGUACUUUCAUUUAUGUUG